RNAcentral lists this ribosomal RNA (253 nucleotides) under uncultured bacterium. Its description in RNAcentral is "partial 16S ribosomal RNA". It matches the Rfam family "Bacterial small subunit ribosomal RNA", at positions 524 to 776 of the family's 1533-position model. The record is from RNAcentral.
UACAGAGGGUGCGAGCGUUAAUCGGAAUUACUGGGCGUAAAGCGCACGUAGGCGGCUUUGCAAGUCGGGUGUGAAAUCCCCGGGCUCAACCUGGGAACUGCAUCCGAGACUGCUUUGCUCGAGUAUGGGAGAGGGAAGUGGAAUUCCUAGUGUAGAGGUGAAAUUCGUAGAUAUUAGGAAGAACACCAGUGGCGAAGGCGGCUCACUGGUCCGGUACUGACGCUGAGGUGCGAAAGCGUGGGGAGCAAACAGG